GUGGGGAAUAUUGGACAAUGGGCGAAAGCCUGAUCCAGCCAUGCCGCGUGUGUGAAGAAGGUCUUCGGAUUGUAAAGCACUUUAAGUUGGGAGGAAGGGUAGUAACCUAAUACGUUGCUACUUUGACGUUACCGACAGAAUAAGCACCGGCUAACUCCGUGCCAGCAGCCGCGGUAAUACGAAGGGUGCAAGCGUUAAUCGGAAUUACUGGGCGUAAAGCGCGCGUAGGUGGUUUUGUAAGUUGGAGGUGAAAUCCCCGGGCUCAACCUGGGAACUGCCUCCAAAACUGCAUGACUAGAGUACGGUAGAGGGUAGUGGAAUUUCCUGUGUAGCGGUGAAAUGCGUAGAUAUAGGAAGGAACACCAGUGGCGAAGGCGACUACCUGGACUGAUACUGACACUGAGGUGCGAAAGCGUGGGGAGCAAACAGGAUUAGAUACCCUAGUAGUCC
Molecule: ribosomal RNA, 450 nt
Filed under: uncultured bacterium
Lineage: Bacteria
Description: bacterial SSU rRNA
Rfam family: Bacterial small subunit ribosomal RNA
Source: RNAcentral